UUGAGGUAGCAAGAGAGCGGAAGGGUACAGCUAACACCCAAUGUGUCAAGUUCAUGUGGUUUAAUUAUAAUCAGCGUGAGCAUUCAAUGAAAUUUACAUGCGUGUCUGAUGCUUCACCACCGCUAACGGACAAAUGACUGCCACCGCCGUUGUUGUGCGCUAUAUACCGUAUAUCCUGAAAAUAAAUAGAAUUACUGCACUUGUGAAAGUGAGAGCAGGAACUCAUGUGGUGUUUGGGCCAGCCAGCCAGCCAGCCUGCCAACUAGGACAGGCAGCGCGGGGUGAUCUCCCUUCAGCAAGUUGAACCUCUUAUGGAUUUGGAAGAAGAACACUGAAGGGAGACAUUUCACCAAUACAGUCGCAACAAUCACCACUGCCCAAG
Molecule: long non-coding RNA, 382 nt
Organism: Portunus trituberculatus (swimming crab)
Lineage: Eukaryota; Metazoa; Arthropoda; Malacostraca; Decapoda; Portunidae
Exons: 3
Source: RefSeq, a predicted model, not a curated record